AUACGUAGGGGGCAAGCGUUAUCCGGAUUUACUGGGUGUAAAGGGAGCGUAGACGGCGAUGCAAGUCUGAAGUGAAAGCCCGGGGCUCAACCCCGCGGACUGCUUUGGAAACUGUGUUGCUGGAGUGCAGGAGAGGUGAGUGGAAUUCCUAGUGUAGCGGUGAAAUGCGUAGAUAUUAGGAGGAACACCAGUGGCGAAGGCGGCUCACUGGACGGUAACGGACUUUGAGGCUCGAAAGCGUGGGUAGCAAACAGGAUUAGAUACCCUGGUAGUCCGCGCCGUAAACGAUGAAUGCUAGGUGUCGGGGGGCAAAGCCCUUCGGUGCCGCCGCUAACGCAUUAAGCAUUCCACCUGGGGAGUACGUUCGCAAGAAUGAAACUCAAAGGAAUUGACGGGG
This 397-nucleotide ribosomal RNA is filed under the name uncultured bacterium. Its description in RNAcentral is "partial 16S ribosomal RNA". It matches the Rfam family "Bacterial small subunit ribosomal RNA", at positions 523 to 918 of the family's 1533-position model. The record is from RNAcentral.